This 444-nucleotide ribosomal RNA is filed under the name Enterococcus casseliflavus. Its description in RNAcentral is "bacterial SSU rRNA". It matches the Rfam family "Bacterial small subunit ribosomal RNA", at positions 968 to 1413 of the family's 1533-position model. Lineage: Bacteria; Bacillati; Bacillota; Bacilli; Lactobacillales; Enterococcaceae. The record is from RNAcentral.
ACCUUACCAGGUCUUGACAUCCUUUGACCACUCUAGAGAUAGAGCUUCCCCUUCGGGGGCAAAGUGACAGGUGGUGCAUGGUUGUCGUCAGCUCGUGUCGUGAGAUGUUGGGUUAAGUCCCGCAACGAGCGCAACCCUUAUUGUUAGUUGCCAUCAUUUAGUUGGGCACUCUAGCGAGACUGCCGGUGACAAACCGGAGGAAGGUGGGGAUGACGUCAAAUCAUCAUGCCCCUUAUGACCUGGGCUACACACGUGCUACAAUGGGAAGUACAACGAGUUGCGAAGUCGCGAGGCUAAGCUAAUCUCUUAAAGCUUCUCUCAGUUCGGAUUGUAGGCUGCAACUCGCCUACAUGAAGCCGGAAUCGCUAGUAAUCGCGGAUCAGCACGCCGCGGUGAAUACGUUCCCGGGCCUUGUACACACCGCCCGUCACACCACAAGAGUUU